AGAAUCAACGCUGGCGGCGUGCCUAACACAUGCAAGUCGAACGAGAAAGUGGAGCAAUCCAUGAGUAAAGUGGCGACCGGGUGAGUAACACGUGACCAAUCUACCCUUGAGUGGGGGAUAACCUCGGGAAACCGGGGCUAAUACCGCAUAAUAUCUUCGGGACGGAAGUACUGAAGAUCAAAGGAGCAAUUCGCUUAAGGAGGAGGUCGCGGCUGAUUAGCUAGUUGGCGGGGUAAUGGCCCACCAAGGCAAAGAUCGGUAGCCGGCCUGAGAGGGCGCACGGCCACACUGGAACUGAAACACGGUCCAGACUCCUACGGGAGGCAGCAGUGGGGAAUUUUGCGCAAUGGGGGAAACCCUGACGCAGCAACGCCGCGUGGAGGAUGAAGUCCUUGGGACGUAAACUCCUUUCGACCCGGACGAUAAUGACGGUACGGGUGGAAGAAGCCCGGCUAACUUCGUGCCAGCAGCCGC
RNAcentral lists this ribosomal RNA (474 nucleotides) under uncultured bacterium. RNAcentral describes it as "SSU rRNA". It matches the Rfam family "Bacterial small subunit ribosomal RNA", at positions 26 to 518 of the family's 1533-position model. The record is from RNAcentral.